RNAcentral lists this unclassified non-coding RNA (210 nucleotides) under plant metagenome. Its description in RNAcentral is "partial contains small subunit ribosomal RNA, internal transcribed spacer 1, and 5.8S ribosomal RNA". The record is from RNAcentral.
GGUCCGUUGGUGAACCAGCGGAGGGAUCAUUACUGGAAUCGCAAGAUCCCACGACCCCUGUGAACCUACCGACACGUUGCCCCGGCGGGCGCCGGGCCCCGCGCCGGGCGCUGAGCCAGCCGGCGGCCCCCUACUCUCGCCUCUGCAGCGUGGCAUAUCAGAGUCCAAGAAAACAAGAAAAAACUUUCAACAACGGAUCUCUUGGCUCUC